RNAcentral lists this ribosomal RNA (397 nucleotides) under uncultured Acidobacteriota bacterium. RNAcentral describes it as "SSU rRNA". It matches the Rfam family "Bacterial small subunit ribosomal RNA", at positions 242 to 643 of the family's 1533-position model. The record is from RNAcentral. Lineage: Bacteria; Pseudomonadati; Acidobacteriota.
CAGCUAGUUGGUGAGGUAACGGCUCGCCAAGGCUAUGAUCGGUAGCCGGUCUGAGAGGAUGGCCGGCCACACUGGAACUGAGACACGGUCCAGACUCCUACGGGAGGCAGCAGUGGGGAAUAUUGCGCAAUGGGCGAAAGCCUGACGCAGCGACGCCGCGUGGGGGAUGAAGCUUUUCGGAGUGUAAACCCCUUUCGACCCGGACGAAUGACCCGCAAGGGUUUGACGGUACGGGUAUAAGAAGCCCCGGCUAACUACGUGCCAGCAGCCGCGGUAAUACGUAGGGGGCCAGCGUUGCUCGGAAUUACUGGGCGUAAAGGGUUCGUAGGCGGUGCGGCAAGUUGGGAGUGAAAUCUCUGGGCUUAACCCAGAGGCUGCUUUCAAAACUGCCGUGCUC